UACAGAGGUGGCAAGCGUUGUUCGGAAUUACUGGGCGUAAAGGGCGCGUAGGCGGUCCCGUCAGUCCCUUGUGAAAUCCCCCGGCUCAACUGGGGAACUGCAAGGGAUACAGCGGGGCUUGAGUUCGGGAGAGGGAAGCGGAAUUCCGGGUGUAGCGGUGAAAUGCGUAGAUAUCGAGAGGAACACCUGAGGUGAAGACGGGUUGCUGGGCCGACACUGACGCUGAGUGCGCGAAAGCCAGGGGAGCAAACGGG
RNAcentral lists this ribosomal RNA (254 nucleotides) under uncultured bacterium. Its description in RNAcentral is "partial 16S ribosomal RNA". It matches the Rfam family "Bacterial small subunit ribosomal RNA", at positions 524 to 776 of the family's 1533-position model. The record is from RNAcentral.